Molecule: ribosomal RNA, 407 nt
Filed under: bacterium enrichment culture clone ALO1_GLFRUDD03F1TW0
Lineage: Bacteria
Also listed under: 2 other names
Description: bacterial SSU rRNA
Rfam family: Bacterial small subunit ribosomal RNA
Source: RNAcentral
GAGUUUGAUCGUGGCUCAGAUUGAACGCUGGCGGCAUGCCUUACACAUGCAAGUCGAACGGCAGCACGGGAGCUUGCCCCUGGUGGCGAGUGGCGAACGGGUGAGUAAUGCAUCGGAACGUAUCCUGGAGUGGGGGAUAACGUAGCGAAAGUUACGCUAAUACCGCAUAUUCUGUGAGCAGGAAAGCGGGGGACCUUCGGGCCUCGCGCUCUUGGAGCGGCCGAUGUCGGAUUAGCUAGUUGGUGAGGUAAAGGCUCACCAAGGCGACGAUCCGUAGCAGGUCUGAGAGGAUGAUCUGCCACACUGGAACUGAGACACGGUCCAGACUCCUACGGGAGGCAGCAGUGGGGAAUUUUGGACAAUGGGGGCAACCCUGAUCCAGCCAUGCCGCGUGAGUGAAGAAGGCC